GACGAACGCUGGCGGCGUGCUUAACACAUGCAAGUCGAACGGUAAGGCCCUUCGGGGUACACGAGUGGCGAACGGGUGAGUAACGCGUGAGUAACCUGCCCUUCACUCUGGGAUAACAGUUGGAAACGGCUGCUAAUACCGGAUAUUCAGCUCCUGUCGCAUGGUGGGGGUUGGAAAGUUUUGGUGGUGGAGGAUGGGCUCGCGUCCUAUCAGCUUGUUGGUGGGGUGAUGGCCUACCAAGGCGUCGACGGGUAGCCGGCCUGAGAGGGCGACCGGCCACUUUGGGACUGAGAUACGGCCCAAACUCCUACGGGAGGCAGCAGUGGGGAAUAUUGCACAAUGGGCGGAAGCCUGAUGCAGCAACGCCGCGUGCGGGAUGACGGCCUUCGGGUUGUAAACCGCUUUCAGCAGGGACGAAGCGCAAGUGACGGUACCUGCAGAAGAAGCACCGGCUAACUACGUG
Molecule: ribosomal RNA, 463 nt
Filed under: uncultured bacterium
Lineage: Bacteria
Description: partial 16S ribosomal RNA
Rfam family: Bacterial small subunit ribosomal RNA
Source: RNAcentral